AGGCGAUCGCGACGACCAAUGGCGAGGCCGCGCGUUGGGGAACUUUCGAUGUCUGCGCGCACAGUCCGCCGUGUCAGGAUUUCACACUCACAGGCCGGUUGUGGUCGUUGGCUAAAGUGGCCUGACUCUUGUUCCUGUGUCUCAUUAGGACUUCCUGCACAUUGCUCACCACAACAGUAGAUGCGCGGGAGGAUCUCGUUCGGGGUCGUGUUGGGGUCAAGUCAUGUCUGAAAAUGCUCUUUAGUGUCCUGUGCACAUUCUGAACCUGUUUUUCCGUACAAAAUACAGACUAUUAACACUUGAGUUGAACAGUAA
Electrophorus electricus (electric eel) is the source of this 315-nucleotide long non-coding RNA. RefSeq lists it as uncharacterized. NCBI's taxonomy places the organism in Eukaryota, Metazoa, Chordata, Actinopteri, Gymnotiformes, Gymnotidae. The record is from RefSeq and is a predicted model, not a curated record.